GACGAACGCUGGCGGCGUGCUUAACACAUGCGAGUCGAACGGAAAGGCCCUGCUUUUGUGGGGUGCUCGAGUGGCGAACGGGUGAGUAACACGUGAGUAACCUGCCCUUGACUUUGGAAUAACUUCAGGAAACUGGGGCUAAUACCGGAUAGGAGCUCCUGCUGCAUGGUGGGGGUUGGAAAGUUUCGGCGGUUGGGGAUGGACUCGCGGCUUAUCAGCUUGUUGGUGGGGUAGUGGCUUACCAAGGCUUUGACGGGUAGCCGGCCUGAGAGGGUGACCGGCCACAUUGGGACUGAGAUACGGCCCAGACUGCUACGGGAGGCAGCAGUGGGGAAUAUUGCACAAUGGGCGGAAGCCUGAUGCAGCAACGCCGCGUGCGGGAUGACGGCCUUCGGGUUGUAAACCGCUUUCGCCUGUGACGAAGCGUGAGUGACGGUAAUGGGUAAAGAAGCACCGGCUAACUACGUG
Molecule: ribosomal RNA, 468 nt
Filed under: uncultured bacterium
Lineage: Bacteria
Description: partial 16S ribosomal RNA
Rfam family: Bacterial small subunit ribosomal RNA
Source: RNAcentral